UUUCCGUAGGUGAACCUGCGGAAGGAUCAUUAUUGUAUAACCGAGGUGCGAGGGCUGUCGCUGACCCGAAAGGUCGUGCACGCCCGAGUGCCCUCACACACACCCCUCUCACCCCUAUGUGCACCACCGCGUGGGUCCCCCUUUGGCUUGUUCGGAGGGGGGCUUACGUUUUCACACAAACUUUGUAUGCCGAGUAGAAUGUAUUUUUUGUUUUUGAGAUCACGCAAUCAAUACAACUUUCAACAACGGAACUCUUGACCCUCGCAACGAUGAAGAACC
This 279-nucleotide unclassified non-coding RNA is filed under the name plant metagenome. Its description in RNAcentral is "partial contains small subunit ribosomal RNA, internal transcribed spacer 1, and 5.8S ribosomal RNA". The record is from RNAcentral.